This 2286-nucleotide long non-coding RNA is filed under the name Marmota monax (woodchuck). Lineage: Eukaryota; Metazoa; Chordata; Mammalia; Rodentia; Sciuridae. The record is from RNAcentral.
CACCAGGUGUCCCUGACUCAGUCAGGCUAGGUGGAGAUCCAUAGCAACCCCCUAGCAGCCACCAAUCAGCAUGAGACAGGGAAAUACCUGGGAUGCCAGAUGACCCUCCCAGUUUAUGGUGGUUGAUAACAUGUUGGGAAACCAUGUAGUUCAGCACGUACACCCCUCUUGGCUUAAACCAAUCAGUUCAAAUGAAUACCCCUUUUGUACUGACCAAUCACCCCUACCCAACUUGUUCCCGACAGUGAAUGUGCUAAUCAUGUUUUAGAGUUGUUAUCUGAUUUUCUCGCGGUGUGUGAUGAUUUGCUAACGGAUGCUAUGAUGUAUGUGAAGUCCCUGCCUUCUCCAAAGAAUGUAUAAAACUGCUGCAAACCCUGGGCUCGGGGCCUCUCAGCAUCACCAGUUGCUGUGUGUGGGCGUGGAGGACCGAGCUAGCUCGCAAUAAAUACCUCUUUUCUGCUUACAUCGAUCUUGGGUCUCUGGUGGUCUUUGGGGGUCCCGAAUUCGAGCAUAACAUAUGGGGGCUCGUCUGGGAUCCCCCUAAUAAGCCUACCCAGACACCCCGAUCGAGAGGUGAUGAAAACCUGGCCGGUAAGUAAAGGCAUUGCCGAUGUGUAAGAAAAUGUACUCUGGUUGCAUGCAGGUCCUGGUUUUGUGUUGUGAGGUCGGCAAAAGGUCCAGGUGGACGCACCGAAGGGCAGACGACGGGGUUUGUGGGAGACAUCCCCAGCCCCUUUCUGGGUUCUGAGUAGGUUGCCUGUAGUAAAGUAUUUUGUGAAGUAUUUGGUAAAGUAUUUUGUAGCUGACGGAUCCGCGGUCCACCUGAGCCUUUAGUUUCUGGGUAGCAAUCCACGACACGCUGCGAAUUCUGUGGCCGCGCUGCAAAUUUUGUGUUAUGUGUGUUUGUUUCUAUUGUCCUGUCUGUCUCCACCCCAACACCCUGGCAAGAUAACUAAUCUCCCAAUCUGCGGUCAUCAGACCCAAUCUGAAGGGGAUGCUCCCUCAAUCCGUUUGUCUGAAGGGAAGGCCCCAGUUGGCUUGGGGCCAGCACCCUCUUUCGUUUUUUUGACAAUCUGAAAAGGGAAUCUAUGUCUUUGUGUGUCUUUGUCUGUGUCUCUGUUAAGUGUGAUGGCAUUGUUUUACUUUGGACAGAUGCAGAGUCCCAAGUUCCAAUCUGCCUUAGAUGUGUGGAGGUAACUUUAGCUAAAUUUUAGCCUAAAUUGUCCCUAAUAUGCUUCUCCUGUAAGGGACCAAAAGUCAAUAGAACAGCUUUUCUGUUCUCACCUUUUACACCCCUUUUAGCUGUGUUUUAAAGAACUUUGAUAAACUUUACUCCCCUUUGUUAAGCAAGAUUAGGGAAGCAGUGUUUUCUUCCGUAGUUGGCUUGAGUGCACCCACUGCAGAGGGAAAUGCCUGCUGGGGAUCUAAGAACUUUGAUACCUCGCUUUUUCUUUUUCUCAAAACCCUGUCCUCAUUAUUAAAUUGGCAUUAGUUGGCUUCAAGAGCAGGAACCGAAUUUUCAGUCACAAAUUUUGGCACCCCAGAGGGGACUUUAGAGGAGUCCCCACUCUGCCUUCUUGGGGAAGCCUAGCACUCUUGAGACAAUUGCAAGCAGAGGAUGAACUUUUUUGGGAGCUGACUACUGAAAAGUUAGGAGAUAUGGAGAGUGCCUGGUGCCUGGGGUCGGACCAAACCAGAGGAACUAAUCCUGUAAGUAAAAGGACUGAGGGACUCCCAGCAGCUGCCAAAGCCAUUUUGCUUUGGGGAACUCCCUCUUCCUCACCUGCACUUUAAGGAUUACUCCACCUCUGUCUACUUAAAAAAGGGACAAUAAAUGCAGUAAUGUGUUGAUAUUAUAGAUUGUUUCUUGGGGAUGAUCUUGGCUGAAUGUGUAUCUAAAAGAUGAUUUUUUAUUGUAACAAUGUGGUAUCUGAAUGGGUUUCUAAAGCAUUGCACAAUCUUGCAGUUAAAAUUUGGGUUUAAGUAAUUGUGUAGUUUGUGAUUUCAGUUAGUUCAUGCUAGAAAACUUAAAUACUUAGGAUGGAAAAUUAAAGAACUCUACUUCCAAGUUGGCAAGUAACUCCCAAUCAUUUAGUUUUAUUUUUUUCAUCAAUUUUUGAACUGGGUAGCCUGAAAAGAUUUCACUAGGUGUACCAGUACAUUAACUUGGGCAAGGAUAAUAAAUUAUGAUAUGAUAUCUGUUCCCCUCAGUGCGUAAGAUUUAGGAAAAGAAAGUGUUGGAUUGGGACAUUGGUCUGGCUUAUUGAAAUGACAUUAAAUAGCAAC